GAUUAUUUGGAAAAUGAAAGUAACAACAUUUAUUGUCAGAAUUGUAAUAAAUUAUUGCUAACUAUAUCAAAGGCUGCAUUUGAAGGACUCGGAUUGGUCAAACAGAGCACUGGUCAGCUGUCACAGCUGCCACUGAACACUGACCUGUACUAGUAUGCUCUAUUAAAAAAAUGUAUUCAGUUUUAUUUUUAUGGUUAACUGCCUACCUUGGUCAAGACAAUAAACUACAUAAAAUCGCACCUUUGUAAGAUAUCAGUCAGCAUUUGAACUGCUAUGUGUGUUGUAGUUUUUCAUAUGUAUCAUUACUUUACUCAAGUAAGCUCCAAACCAGUACCUGCAUUUAAAGUUGUAAUCAAACAAAGGAAGCAGCAAACCAGUGUAACUUACCUGGCCUCGGGCUGGUAUAUCACAGUCUCCUCCAUUAUGACGUAAAACAUAUAAACAAAAACUAUCCUAGCAGGGUUGUCUCUCUCCAGCUCUCCUCUCACACCGUUGCUGUGCACAGGGGUGGAGGAAUUAGGAAAUCCUGCAAAGGCGGAGCAUCUCACGCACUUCGGAGGGCUGGUUUACGAAAUGUGCACACUCAAUUUUGGGACACAGCUUAGUUCUCUGUCUAGUGCUUCCACCGAUGACUCUGGACAUGAAUCCUACACUAUUCCUGCUUCUGGUAUUGACAGCUAGCUGGACUGGACCUGUUCAAUGUGAAGACAAUGAAGAGAGAGAGUAUAUCUCUGAAGGCUUGUUAGUUCUCAACGCAGAGGUUGGAGAAGAAAACCCAGAUAAUCAUGGGGACGGCUCUGGAGAUGGCAGGCGCUCGUAUGUAGGUUCCACACCAAGCAGUGACUCAGAGCCGACUACAGAGACAGAGACAGACGCAGAAACAGAGAAAGAGACAUUGGGUUUAAAGAUGUGCAUUAAACCUGAAGAAACUAAAGAAGAUCCUAAACUGGAUCAUGAAGACCACGAAAAAGUGCCAAUGUAAGUACACGCUUUUAAGAGCAUGCUGUGUUUCUAUCUGCUGGCUGCAUUUCAGUAGUUUAGUUUGGUUUGUUUCUUAGUUCCUUUUAGCAAAUAUGUGGCUUACCCAGAUGUGCAAAGUGUGUUGUGAUAACAUUUCAAAACUGUACAGUAAAUACAGAAAAGCGAACACUGGCUUCAUAUCAGUCACAUAAAACUUGAACAGAACGGGGGUCCGCAGCACUGGAUGUGAUAAAACUGUGCUGAUUUGAAAGGGGAAAACACACAUGACUCACUGGGAAGUGUGGCAAGACAAGGCAUGAAGACAUCAUGCGUUCACAUGCGUCACACCCUGUAAUGUAAUGUGUAAGGUUUCUUUUCCUGGAGCUGUCAAAUGACAUAAAGUUACCUGCUUCUUUAUUUCCAGAGGAAAGCCCCUCUGAGUCGAGUCAGGAUCAGAGUUCCCCGAGCAUACUUUAGUGAAACUAUGUUGUGAUCAUUCCUUUAUUGAGAAUUGUUUUUAUGUCAUGCAAUCUGAACUGUAAUAUGAUACAUAUUUAAUAUUUCAUACUGAUGCUUUUUAGAUAACCAGGAAAAAGGAGCAAAAAGACACUACAUUGGAUGUUGGGAUGUGCAAAAACUACAAAAGCAAUGACAUUUUGCUGCCAGUAGAAAUAGUUAUUGCUUAAGUAAUAAUAGUGUCUCAGUCCAUUUUGAGACUGUUUAUGAAACGCAAUCAGUGUGAAUAAUAAUAAUAAUAAUAAUAAUAAUAAUAAUAAUAAUAAUAAUAAUAAUAAUAAUGUACCAGUCAAAGGUUUGAGGUUUGAGUCUCGUCUGCUCCCAAAAGCUGCAUUCAUUUAAUAAAAAAUACAGAACAAAAUGUAAUAUCGUGAAAAAAUAUUCCACUUCCAAACAGCGGUUUUCUGUGUGAAUAUCUAUUAAAGUGUAAUGUAUUUCUGUGAUGUACAGCUGUAUUUACAGCAUCAUUCCUCCAGUCGAAUGAUGAAUUCGUUAUUUUGAAAACUUUGCCAGCAUUUUUAGAUUGUUUCAUAAUGCCAUAACUUUAUAUUAAAAAGAUAUUUGUUUAAUAUUGUAUAAUGCUCUUGGAUGAACAAAGGCAGAUCUGUCUGUUGCACUGAUCAGGAUCCAACAGUUCACUGGAAGCCAAUAUGGUCUUUUAUGUGCUUUUGAUAUUUAAGAUAUUCACCACAGUUAUAUGAUAAUCAAUGUUGUUUCUUUAUAAUUUAAUGAUUGUUCCUGUCUUUAUCUCAGUGUAAGGGCUGCCUCAGAACUUCAGAUGCAUUAAGAAGCAUUUCAUUUAAAUUAUAGAGACAUUAACCUUUGUAAAUAUUAUUACAUUGGCUGUAUUAUAUUUUUUAUUUUAUUUGCAGUAUUGCAAGUUUGUGUUUACAAUUAAUAAUAGAAUUUAAUUCAUUUAAUAAUUUUUAGGAAUUCACCAAUGCAUUUCCUUUUUUGAACAUACCAAACAGAAUUUAAUGUAAAAAAAAAAAGAAAAAAAACAUAAUAAAGAAU
RNAcentral lists this long non-coding RNA (2490 nucleotides) under Carassius auratus (goldfish). RNAcentral's name for it is "lncRNA (ENSCARG00000034035.1)". Lineage: Eukaryota; Metazoa; Chordata; Actinopteri; Cypriniformes; Cyprinidae. The record is from RNAcentral.